CUAAGGGUAUUACGGAAUGACCAUAAGGUCAUGGAAUAACGGAGACAUAUUGUAUUCAGUUUUGAAUGUUUAUUUGACAUUCAAAAAUAGAUAGGGCCUAUAGCUCAGCUGGUUAGAGCGCACGCCUGAUAAGCGUGAGGUCGAUGGUUCGAGUCCAUUUAGGCCCACCAUUUUUUUGCACAUUGAAAACUAGAUAAGUAAGCAAAUAGAUUUUACCAAGCAAAAAACCGAGUGAAUUUUUAACGAAAUUCAACAAGCUUAAUAAUCGCGCGUCGUCUUUUUAGACGACAUCACAGAUUAAUAACUGGUAAAGGUUAGUUAAACAUGAUUGUAUCUUCGAUACACAGUGCUUAACUAAGGAUUUACAU
RNAcentral lists this unclassified non-coding RNA (368 nucleotides) under uncultured bacterium. RNAcentral's name for it is "16S-23S ribosomal RNA intergenic spacer". The stretch from base 94 to 167 matches the Rfam family "tRNA". The record is from RNAcentral.